GAGCCCGUGGCUCAAUGGUAGAGCGUUCGACUCAAAUACCAAAGGUCGCGGGUUCU
Non-coding RNA from Schistocephalus solidus, 56 nucleotides. The record is from Rfam. Lineage: Eukaryota; Metazoa; Platyhelminthes; Cestoda; Diphyllobothriidea; Diphyllobothriidae.